This 228-nucleotide ribosomal RNA is filed under the name uncultured bacterium. RNAcentral describes it as "partial 16S ribosomal RNA". It matches the Rfam family "Bacterial small subunit ribosomal RNA", at positions 103 to 334 of the family's 1533-position model. The record is from RNAcentral.
CGGGUGAGUAAUGUCUGGGAAACUGCCUGAUGGAGGGGGAUAACUACUGGAAACGGUAGCUAAUACCGCAUAACGUCGCAAGACCAGAGAGGGGGACCUUCGGGCCUCUUGCCAUCGGAUGUGCCCAGAUGGGAUUAGCUAGUAGGUGGGGUAACGGCUCACCUAGGCGACGAUCCCUAGCUGGUCUGAGAGGAUGACCAGCCACACUGGAACUGAGACACGGUCCAG